Apis dorsata (giant honeybee) is the source of this 1373-nucleotide long non-coding RNA. RefSeq lists it as uncharacterized. NCBI's taxonomy places the organism in Eukaryota, Metazoa, Arthropoda, Insecta, Hymenoptera, Apidae. The record is from RefSeq and is a predicted model, not a curated record. The transcript has 2 exons.
UUCUUGCCCUUAAUUCCGCGCCCCUUAAUUAAUAGGGCGCAUGCGCUUCAAUAUCCUAUAAAAACUAAGUUAUUUCUUAACUGAUUGCCUUGCGUUACGGUUAAGGUUGGGCAACUGAUAUGGGUCAUCGCGGACCCACGUCUACAUUCGCCUUUAUACACAGCUCGUCGAUUCUAGAAGACACUGAAUUUACCCUGCAAUGAAUAUACACACAGAGAAUAAUUGAAAAAUCUGAAUCUGAUUUUGCUCGCCAAAUGUCAUUGAAGCGAAUUAUAAAAGCACGCUCUAGUUUAAAAAUGAUGAACUAAUAAUACAUCCUUGGUCUGCAGAGUCAUUUAUAUGUACCGAUUUGACUCUUACAAUUUAUAUUAUAGAUUUCAUAAUUUAUAUUGAAAUUUUAUAAUUUCUUUUUUUUUUCUCAUUCUUAAUGUUACUAAUAUUUCAUUGUGUACUAUUAGUUGAUUAACAUAAGAACAGUUCGUACAAUUCAACAUUGAAGAAAUUCGUUAUAGUUCCCUAUUCUAGGUUAUGACAAACGAAGUUUCUAUAUGAAAAAAGAUCUAAUAAACGGCGGAAGAAUAGCUUGAAUUGGAGAUUGAAGAUGAAGAAAAGGAUAAAGAAGAAAAUACUUCUUGAUGAAAACUAAGUUUUCAGCUCGCACAUCUUUUCAUUAUUUUAUCUCCUCUAACUCUUUAUUUUUCUCUUCACUUCUUUUUUUUUUAUAUGAUAUAAUUUAUACUCAUAUAAUUUCUUUUAAUAGAAGAACGCUAUCAUCAAUUCGACAUUUUAUAUUAUUAUCGAAUAUUAUCUUCGAUUAAUGAAUCGAAUUGACGAUAUUUUUUUCCUUUUUUCGACAAUUUUGUCGUUUAUAUUUUUUUUUGUUUCUUUAUUUUUUUCUUUAAAUAUCUGCCACACUGGAUUCGAGACCGGUUUCAAACUCUGGUUUUGAGAUUUUUUAAGAUGUUUUCAAAGAGGAACUCGACGAGAGAUCCAACUACGACCACGGUCAUUUCAAGAUAAAAGAAAAGAAAUACGAAUGCUUUCUCUUCUUUUUAAUAUUAAUAUUCAAAUCUUUGUAUGUAAUAUGAUAUAAUAUAUUUUAAUUUAUUAAAAUUAAAUUUUAAUCAUCGAAUUUGAUAAAUAAUUAAAAUAUUUUUUUAAUCUCAUUUGUUUGAGAAUUCAUCAAAAUAGAAAAUAUUGAUAUUUUUAAUUAAUGAACUUCUUUCUUUUUAUUAUGAUUUUAAAUAAAUUUUAUCAAUGGAAAAUGAUAAAGAUUUAAUGAUUGGAAAGCAUCGGUGGUUACGAAAAUUGAUGAUUUGUUCAAAAUUUAACAUAAUAAAUCUAUCAUAUAUUAUUUUUAUAUUUUAUAAAAU